RNAcentral lists this transfer RNA (73 nucleotides) under Planctomycetota bacterium. RNAcentral's name for it is "Planctomycetes bacterium (wastewater metagenome) tRNA-Ile". It matches the Rfam family "tRNA". From Rfam's summary of the family: Transfer RNA (tRNA) molecules are approximately 80 nucleotides in length. Their secondary structure includes four short double-helical elements and three loops (D, anti-codon, and T loops). Lineage: Bacteria; Pseudomonadati; Planctomycetota. The record is from RNAcentral.
GGGCCCUUAGCUCAAUGGUCAGAGCUGGCUGCUCAUACCAGUCUGGUUGCAGGUUCGAGUCCUGCAGGGCCUA